This 173-nucleotide ribosomal RNA is filed under the name Escherichia coli. RNAcentral's name for it is "partial 16S ribosomal RNA". It matches the Rfam family "Bacterial small subunit ribosomal RNA", at positions 1 to 167 of the family's 1533-position model. The record is from RNAcentral. Lineage: Bacteria; Pseudomonadati; Pseudomonadota; Gammaproteobacteria; Enterobacterales; Enterobacteriaceae.
AAAUUGAAGAGUUUGAUCAUGGCUCAGAUUGAACGCUGGCGGCAGGCCUAACACAUGCAAGUCGAACGGUAACAGGAAGAAGCUUGCUUCUUUGCUGACGAGUGGCGGACGGGUGAGUAAUGUCUGGGAAACUGCCUGAUGGAGGGGGAUAACUACUGGAAACGGUAGCUAAU